AACAAACCCGGGUAUUGAACCCACCCCACUCAAGACCAUGAAAUCACUCCUCUCCACCAGACCACUCAAGAUCAUAUGCUACUGAAAUACUACCCUAAAUAUAUGAACCGGCUGAAACAAAAUAAAUAAAUAACAUAUAAACAUUUUUAUGUUUUUUUUUUCUGUUAAAAAACAAAUUAAAAAAUUAAUUAAAAAAAGAAACAGAAAAAAGGAAACGAAAAAAACAAAAACAGAAGCUCGUCUUCUUCUCAUCUCUCUCACCUUGCGAACUCAACCUUCUCCAACAAUGGCCUUCUACCUCAGCAUCUCUAAAUCGAGAUCUUUCUCUGCUCUCAGUC
RNAcentral lists this long non-coding RNA (338 nucleotides) under Lathyrus oleraceus (garden pea). RNAcentral's name for it is "Pisum sativum (pea) long non-coding RNA (PSAT_LNC015014)". Lineage: Eukaryota; Viridiplantae; Streptophyta; Magnoliopsida; Fabales; Fabaceae. The record is from RNAcentral.